This is a long non-coding RNA of Cercocebus atys (sooty mangabey), 1685 nucleotides long. RefSeq lists it as uncharacterized. NCBI's taxonomy places the organism in Eukaryota, Metazoa, Chordata, Mammalia, Primates, Cercopithecidae. The transcript is spliced from 4 exons. The record is from RefSeq and is a predicted model, not a curated record.
GAACUACCGGCGCGCCGUGGGCUUGGCGCAGGCGCAGACGUGGCUCCUUAACUUAGAAAUUGUAUCUUGGGCUGGUUUCAUGAAAAUCCACUUGGGAUUGCCCAGUGCACACGGUAGACAUGGAAAUUGAUCAUCAGCAUCCCCAGAUACUGUCAUGUCUGGAUGGGAGUCCUGAGAUUGCGGCAGCCCUCCCAUGAUGAACCAGAGGAGGAAGCCUCAUGUGGAAGAAGGCAGGACCCACAGCCAUAGUUGCACAGAUCUAUUCAAGCCACACUGAUCACUGCCCUAACCUCCGGAUUUGUUUGGUUACACCAAUUGAAAAAAAGGAGGGGGACUCAGGAGUCCAAAUGACCUGCCUUUAAAAAGUCACCUUACUACAUUGGUAGCAAAGGGUGAAGCUGCUUUGAGACCAUGUUUUUCUGAUCCAGGUUUUGUAAUUGAUCUACUCAAUCCCUCAAUGCCCACCAAUCCCUACUGGACAUCAAGAGUGAGAGUCACAAGCAGAUGUCUCUCAGAUGGGAACUGGUUGUCACAUAUGGUUAGUUUGAUUUGUUCCAGGUUUUAAAAAUCGGAUAAUUUCACAGAAUUCUAGAUUUUUUACUUCUACUGAAAAACCAGAAAAUCUGGAAGCAAUGACAUUAUAUUCUUUUGUGGAGACAAUGGCCUGGAACCAAACAGCAGCUUCCUCCUUUAGAUGAGGUAUGAGAUUUCUGGUCCCCACAGUCCAUGCCAUUCCCUAUUGCCUUGCAACUGGAUCACUCUGCCCGUGGCUGUUCCCUGUCCAGCCCCUGGAUGUAUUGGGUUUAUGAAUCCUGGCCUUGAAUCUCAAUGAUGUGUUCUGCAUUAGCCAGACAAGAAUGCCUCACUAGAAUGUAAGCUCCAUGAGGGCAGGAAUUGUCAUCUGUUUUCUUGACUGUGUCUAAUUGUGCCUUAGAGCAGUGUCUGCAGUGUACUCGACCUACAAUACAGAUUUGUGAGUGAAUGAAUGAAUGAAUGAAUGAUAUCUUUGUGUGGCCUAGGUGUUUUGGGGCUGAUGGUCUGCUGAAAAUGCGGGAUCCUAGGGAGCGCUGAGAAGUAUCAGAAGCCAAGAAAAUUCUUCUGACUGAGACAUAUUUGCAGGGCCAUCUUGUUUUAAAUCUCUAUCAGACUAUUUUGGUCUCUUCUUUUGCUUUUGUGUAGUUUAAUACCAUGGAGGUUCCAGCUCUUCCCCUUGCUGGGUUUGGGUUUGGGGACAGACACCCUGAAUGUUGCAGGCUCCACUUCUCUUGCUGUCUACAUCCUGCCCACUGGAACAUUCUACCCCAUCACCCCAAGGCCCCACAAAUAUAAGCCCAUCAGGCUUCUGGAUCACAGCCAGUCUUCAGGCUAUCUCUAAGGGUUCUUUUUUUUCUCCUUCCUUAAUUAGAUUCUAGCAUUCAAUAUACCUGCUUUACCUUCAGAGAUCCAGACGUUUUGGGUGGAUUCUUGGCAAAGAAAGAACAUUUGGGCCUAGAUAAAAGGUGUCAGGAAUAACUGGGCUUGAAAAUCAUUGGGCUGCUGCAUUACUGGAGAUGAGAUGGUUGGAUUCAGAGAUAGGGGAAAAGGAGACCUUCAGCGACUUUCUCUUCCUGUUUGGAUCCACAUGGAAUCUCGAAGAGGCAAAUUUCAUCCUCCUGGCUCCACUGUGACUCCUUAGGAAGGACGCU